This 181-nucleotide ribosomal RNA is filed under the name Talaromyces marneffei. RNAcentral describes it as "5.8S ribosomal RNA". Lineage: Eukaryota; Fungi; Ascomycota; Eurotiomycetes; Eurotiales; Trichocomaceae. The record is from RNAcentral.
CCGAGUGCGGGCCCUCGCGGCCCAACCUCCCACCCUUGUCUCUAUACACCUGUUGCUUUGGCGGGCCCACCGGGGCCACCCCGGUCGCCGGGGGACGUUUGUCCCCGGGCCCGCGCCCGCCGAAGCGCCCUGUGAACCCUGAUGAAGAUGGACUGUCUGAGUACCAUGAAAAUUGUCAAAA